RNA transcript from Pongo pygmaeus (Bornean orangutan), 837 nucleotides. It is a transcript of the gene named peptidase inhibitor 3, with no coding region annotated. NCBI's taxonomy places the organism in Eukaryota, Metazoa, Chordata, Mammalia, Primates, Hominidae. The transcript is spliced from 3 exons. The record is from RefSeq and is a predicted model, not a curated record.
ACCAUGAGGGCCAGCAGCUUCUUGAUCGUGGUGGUGUUCCUCAUCGCUGGGACGCUGGUUGUAGAGGCAGCUGUCACGGGAGUUCCUGUUAAAGGUCAAGACACUGUCAAAGGCCGUGUUCCAUUCAAUGGACAAGAUCCCGUUAAAGGACAAGUUUCAGUUAAAGGUCAAGAUAGAGUCAAAGGGCAAGGGCCAGUCAAAGGUCCAGUCUCCACUAAGCCUGGCUCCUGCCCCAAUAUCUUGAUCCGGUGUGCCAUGUUGAAUCCCCCUAACCGCUGCUUGAAAGAUACUGACUGCCCAGGAAUCAAGAAGUGCUGUGAAGGCUCUUGCGGGAUGGCCUGUUUCGUUCCACAGUGAGGUGAGCACUAGCUGGAGGAAGAGGAGACCCCUGAAGACACAAAAGAAGGCUGAGCAGUGGGGAACCAUCCCAGAUGGAGCCUGUCCUUGCUGCACCUGUGCUGUCCCCAGAGCUACAGGCCCCAUCUGGUCCUAGGUCCCUGCUGCCCUUCCCCUUCCCACACUGUCCAUUCUUCCUCCCAUUCAGGAUGCCCAAGCCUGGAGCUGCCUCUCUCAUCUACUUUCCAAUAAAGAGUUCCUUCUGCUCCACUUGUUUCUGGUUCCUAUGACUUCUGGGCUCCUGGAUACUUUGGGGAAAUGGAUGUAGAAUUGGGACUUCUUCUCUCCAGUGAAGAGGGGAAAGGGUCCCAUGGUGAAAGAGAGCAGGGCGGGGGGAGGAAACAGGAGGCCCUUGCUAGGGCUUCAUAUUACAAAUCCAAUAAUCAGCCCCAGUGCUGCCAUAUCCUUUUCACCAGGAAAUGGAAAUCUGGAAAUCUUGCC